Molecule: transfer RNA, 69 nt
Filed under: Phrynosoma platyrhinos (Desert horned lizard)
Lineage: Eukaryota; Metazoa; Chordata; Lepidosauria; Squamata; Phrynosomatidae
Description: tRNA-OTHER
Source: RNAcentral
UGCAAUGUGGCAUAGUGGUUUGAGUGUUGGACUGUGACUCUAGAGACCAGGGUUUGAAUCCCCAUUCAG